This is a long non-coding RNA of Oncorhynchus mykiss (rainbow trout), 6708 nucleotides long. NCBI's taxonomy places the organism in Eukaryota, Metazoa, Chordata, Actinopteri, Salmoniformes, Salmonidae. The record is from Ensembl.
AUGUUUCCUGGUAUUGUUAAGAUUACUGUCAGUGUCAUUUCAACCUUAUUGAUGUCUAUCUACAAUAGCCCCUGGCCUGUGGCCUACCCAGUACCAUUAUGUAUGGUGUACCUAUUCAAUAAUCUUCCUAUGUCAUUCACAGAUGGAGUGCCCAGCUCCCGAGGGGUUAAGCAAAGCUUCCAGACACAGCUGCCUACCAGUCACAUGAUCAGGCCCAUCUCUACCAUCCAUAGAGCAAGCCCACGAUCCAAUGUGACAAUGAUGUCCGCAUCACCAAUCUGGACUCAAAAUCGGGUAACCCUGAAAGAAACACCUGAGAGUUGUCGAAAGACAGAAGAGCAUAUCGACUUUGGGGUAGGGUCCAACUACCAGGUAAGUUGUUCAACGCCUUACCCCAAAGUACCACAGGACGGAAUUUCAGUCGACCACUUCAGACCCCAAGAUGUCCAUAAAGAAGUCAACUAUGCUGAGCCUCUCUCACCUCCCACUGAAGAGGCAGGAGCUGAUGUUGUAUCUUUGCUUGGAUCUGACCACAAGGAACAAUCCAUGUGGGAUAUGGAAAAGGAGGAAGAGGAUCAGAACAUAGUCAGAACCUGGUUUGCUGAAGAGAAACCCGUUCUGGAAUCUGCCAUGAGUCACCGGGUCGAGACCAGCUUCAGUAUGCCAACUGUGUUCAGCACUGAUGCUCAAGAGCUCUACAGCCCUUCAGUGAGCUAUGAGAGAGCAGGUUCGGUGACAGGGGCACAUUCUGCUUUCUCAGCGAAUGAUGAUAAUGAUGUACCUUUUGAAAUAUCUUUUGAAAAAGAGGAACCUCUACUAGAUAUGCCUUACGGUCCCAUGAAUGCAUCAAAGGAAAGAGAUCUUGAAACAACAAAGAAAGAUGCUGAAUGGGCGGGAAAUGAAGGCUUGGAAUCUGAAACUGCAUCAGUGCUAGAACAAGCAUUUGAGACCUUCACAAGCAGUCAAGCUUUUGAGUAUGGGGCGGGGAAAAGUUACAACAAGUCAAUAGAGCUCAACCAAGAGGACAAUAUGUCAUAUGAAUCUACUCAAGCCUCCCACGGUUCAGAAGAGGCAUUUCGCCAUGUUAAAAGACUGGAGGAAGAUGUUAUUCAUCUCCCAAAAGAGGAUGAAAAUGAUAUGUCUAACAAACAUGAGGAGCAAUUGGAAGAUGAAUUGCACCCCUAUGGGUAUGGUAAGGAUGAUCGUGAAAGAUUAGGAGGAUUCAUUAAGGAAAAUGAUAUGACAGAAAGAAUCGAUAAGUUCAACCAAGAGGAGAUGAUCUCAUCUGAAUCUGCUCAAGCUUCUCACAGGUCAGAAGAGGUAUUUCACCAUGUUGAAAGAGUGGAGGAAGGUGACAUAAAUUUCACAAAAGUGGAUGAUGAAAAUGAUAUGUCUAACAAACGUGAGGAACAACAUGCACUGAACCCCAAUGGGGAUGUAAAGGAUGAAUGGGAUAGAGUGAGAGGGUACAAUGAAGAGAAUGGAAUUGGAGAAAGAAUGGAUGAUUGGAAAGACGGAAAGUAUCAUAUGAAAGAGGAAGAGAUGUGGAAUAACAGAGAAGCCCAACCCAAUCGGUCUGAUCAAGAAUAUAUACCUUCAAAUGAAGAGAAACUAAAUCAAUUCGAGCAAGAGCAAAUACCUUCAGGCAGAGAGAAACUGAAUCAGUCUGAGACAGAGCAAAUACAUUCAGGCAGAGAGAAACUGAAUCAGUCUGAGACAGAGCAUAUACCUUCAGGCAGAGAGAAACUGAAUCAGUCUGAGCAAGAGCAAAUACCUUCAGGCGGAGAGAAACUGAAUCAGUCUGAGACAGAGCAAAUACCUUCAGGCAGAGAGAAACUGAAUCAGUCUGAGCAAGAGCAAAUACCUUCAGGCAGAGAGAAACUGAAUCAGUCUGAGCAAAGGUAUAUCAAUUCAAACGGAGAGAAACUGAAUCAGUCUGAACAAGAGCAAAUACCUUCAGGCAGAGAGAAACUGAAUCAGUCUGAGCAAAGGUAUAUCAAUUCAAACGGAGAGAAACUGAAUCAGUCUGAACAAGAGCAAAUACCUUCAGGCAGAGAGAAACUGAAUCAGUCUGAGCAAAGGUAUAUCAAUUCAAACGGAGAGAAACUGAAUCAGUCUGAGCAAGAGCAUAUACCUUCAGGCGGAGAGAAACUAAAUAUAUCCGACAAUGACAAAGAGGAUCAUGAUGAGGCAAACUACUGUCAAAAUAAUUCUGUAUCAUGGAGGGCUGAGCUAGAAGGCGACAGCUAUGCUCAGGACAACACACUAGCCGACACACACCCCUUGAUCCGUUACAAGAGUGACGAGACAGAUGUCAACACUCAGGCUUCACACAUGGGCGAGAGUGACUCCAGUGAUGGUGAAGAGGACAGGGAGGUUUGCCAGACAGGAACAGACACCUGGGGCGAAGGCAAGUCCAAACAGUUUGACACCAUGGAAUAUCUGUAUGAAGAGUCAGAAGGGGAUGUCAUAGAUCAGGAAAGUAACAUGGGCUCCACUCACCAAGAGGACAUGGAUGCUAGCCAAACAAAGGAGCAUGCUCCACAGGAGAACGAUGAGGAGAAUGCUGUAGAUCAGUUGAUUCAGGAGGCAGAAGAGGAGCAAUCCUAUGAGGAACUUACAGAACCUGGAGAGUACUCCAUGGUGUGCUCUGAUGAGGACUAUAAUGAAGAAAGAAUUGAUAGAUUGGUGGAGCAAGAGCUAGAGAAUUUAUCUAUAUCCAGUUACAGUGAACACUUUACUGGGCAGAUGAUUGAGAGCGAGUCAGUACUGAGUCUUCAAAUUGAGUCUCACACUGAACUUCCCCAGACACAAGACAUAUUAUACAGUGAGGAGGUAGUGCAGAUACACUCAGAGAGACUGAAUCAAUCUGAGCAAGAGUAUAUACCCUCAGGAGGAGAGAGACUGAAUCAACCUGAGCAAGAGUAUAUACACUCAGAGAGACUGAAUCAACCUGAGCAAGAGUAUAUACACUCAGAGAGACUGAAUCAAUCUGAACAAGAGUAUAUACCCUCAGAGAGACUGAAUCAACCUGAGCAAGAGUAUAUACCCUCAGAGAGACUGAAUCAACCUGAGCAAGAGUAUAUACCCUCAGAGAGACUGAAUCAACCUGAGCAAGAGUAUAUACCCUCAGAGAGACUGAAUCAACCUGAGCAAGAGUAUUUACCCUCAGAGAGACUGAAUCAACCUGAGCAAGUGUAUAUACCCUCAGAGAGACUGAAUCAACCUGAGCAAGAGUAUAUACCCUCAGAGAGACUGAAUCAACCUGAGCAAGAGUAUUUACCCUCAGAGAGACUGAAUCAACCUGAGCAAGUGUAUAUACCCUCAGGCGGUGAGAGACUGAAUCAAUCUGAACAAGAGUAUAUACCCUCAGGCGGAGAGAGACUGAAUCAAUCUGAACAAGAGUAUAUACCCUCAGGCGGAGAGAGACUGAAUCAAUCUGAACAAGAGUAUAUACCCUCAGGCGGAGAGAAACUGAAUCUAUCUGUGCAAGAACACAUACCAUCAGAUGGAGAGAAUCUGAAUCAAUCUGAACAAGAGAAGAUACCUUCAGGAGGAGAGAAACUGAAUCAAUCCGAGACAGAGGAUAUAACUUCAGGCGGAGAGAAACUGAAUCAAUCCGAGACAGAGGAUAUAACUUCAGGUGGAGAGAAUCUGAAUCAAUCUGAACAAGAGAAGAUACCUUCAGGAGGAGAGAAACUGAAUCAAUCCGAGACAGAGGAUAUAACUUCAGGCGGAGAGAAACUGAAUCAAUCCGAGACAGAGGAUAUAACUUCAGGUGGAGAGAAACUGAAUCAAUCCGAGACAGAGGAUAUAACUUCAGGUGGAGAGAAACUGAAUCAAUCCGAGACAGAGGAUAUAACUUCAGGUGGAGAGAAACUGAAUCAAUCUGAGCAAGAGUAUAUACCCUCAGGCGGAGAGAGACUGAAUCAACCUGAGCAAGAGUAUAUACACUCAGAGAGACUGAAUCAAUCUGAACAAGAGUAUAUACCCUCAGAGAGACUGAAUCAAUCUGAACAAGAGUAUAUACCCUCAGAAAGACUGAAUCAACCUGAGCAAGAGUAUAUACCCUCAGAGAGACUGAAUCAACCUGAGCAAGUGUAUAUACCCUCAGGCGGCGAGAAACUGAAUCAACCUGAUCAAGAGUAUAUACCCUCAGAGAGACUGAAUCAACCUGAACAAGAGUAUAUACCCUCAGGCGGAGAGAGACUGAAUCAAUCUGAACAAGAGUAUAUACCCUCAGGCGGAGAGAGACUGAAUCAAUCUGAACAAGAGUAUAUACCCUCAGGCGGAGAGAAACUGAAUCUAUCUGUGCAAGAACACAUACCCUCAGAUGGAGAGAAUCUGAAUCAAUCUGAACAAGAGAAGAUACCUUCAGGAGGAGAGAAACUGAAUCAAUCCGAGACAGAGGAUAUAACUUCAGGUGGAGAGAAACUGAAUCAAUCUGAGCAAGAGUAUAUACCCUCAGGCGGAGAGAAACUGAAUCAAUCCGAACCAGAGGAUAUAACUUCAGGUGGAGAGAAACUGAAUCAAUCCGAGACAGAGGAUAUAACUUCAGGUGGAGAGAAACUGAAUCAAUCCGAGACAGAGGAUAUAACUUCAGGUGGAGAGAAACUGAAUCAAUCCGAACCAGAGGAUAUACCUUCAGGUGGAGAGAAACUGAAUCAAUCCGAGACAGAGGAUAUACCUUCAGGCGGAGAGAAACUGAAUCAAUCCGAGACAGAGGAUAUAACUUCAGGUGGAGAGAAACUGAAUCAAUCCGAACCAGAGGAUAUACCUUCAGGUGCAGAGAAACUGAAUCAAUCCGAGACAGAGGAUAUACCUUCAGGCGGAGAGAAACUGAAUCAAUCCGAGACAGAGGAUAUAACUUCAGGUGGAGAGAAACUGAAUCAAUCCGAACCAGAGGAUAUACCUUCAGGCGGAGAGAAACUGGAUAUAUGUGAGCAAGAACAUAUACCCUCAGAUGGAGAGAAAAUGUAUCAAUCCGAGCCAGAGCAUUUAGCUUCAAUCAGAGAGAAACUGAAUCAAUCCGAGACAGAGGAUAUAACUUCAGGCGGAGAGAAACUGAAUCAAUCCGAGACAGAGGAUAUAACUUCAGGUGGAGAGAAACUGAAUCAAUCCGAGACAGAGGAUAUAACUUCAGGUGGAGAGAGACUGAAUCAAUCCGAACCAGAGGAUAUAACUUCAGGUGGAGAGAAACUGAAUCAAUCCGAGACAGAGGAUAUACCUUCAGGUGGAGAGAAACUGAAUCAAUCCGAGACAGAGGAUAUAACUUCAGGAGGAGAGAAACUGAAUCAAUCCGAGACAGAGGAUAUACCUUCAGGCGGAGAGAAACUGAAUCAAUCCGAGACAGAGGAUAUAACUUCAGGCGGAGAGAAACUGAAUCAAUCUGAGACAGAGGAUAUACCUUCAGGCGGAGAGACACUGGAUAUAUGUGAGCAAGAACAUAUACCCUCAGAUGGAGAGAAACUGAAUCAAUCUGAACAAGAGGAUAUAACUUCAGGCGGAGAGACACUGGAUAUAUGUGAGCAAGAACAUAUACCCUCAGAUGGAGAGAAAAUGAAUCAAUCUGAGUCCGAGUAUAUACCUUCAGGUGGAGAGAAACUGAAUCAGUCUGAGCAAGAGUGUAUACCUUCAGGUGCAGAGAAACGGAAUCAGUCUGAGCAAGAGCAUAUACCUUCAGGUGGAGAGAAACUGAAUCAGUCUGAGCAAGAGCAUAUACCUUCAGGUGCAGAGAAACUGAAUCAGUCUGAACAAGAGUGUAUUUCCUCAGAGGUUAUGUAUUCGGUGCACUCUAGGAUUCUAAUGACAUCUGAUCACACAUCUCUUAGAGAAGGUUCAGUAGAAAUAUCCAAAGAAGAAUAUUUGGCUCAAGGUAAGGUAUUCAGUGGGGGACUGGGAACUGAAGCUGUACCAGACAAAAUAGAAGGACAGGAUGACCAGAACCUUUAUAUGUCGACUCAUGCAGACUUCACUGAAAGCCAUUCUAUCUACAGCAGUUUAAACAGCAGGCCUGAGAGUCAAACCGACAUGAACAACUUGGAUAUAGAAGAGUCCAACAGCACAGAUGAUGAGUCACCAAAUGCAAGCCAGUAUUUGCAACCUGUCACCAAAGCAAAUCUAACUGCAGAUCAGGAAGACUUGUUAAAUGUGGCAGUCUCUCACUAUGAGGAUUGCAAUACUCUUAUUGAACAUUCUGCAGAAGAGGUCACUAGCUAUCAGGCAAGUAAUGAAUGUCUUCAGACAGAUGAAUGGGAAGUCUUAGAAAGUCCAAACAAACACCUGGAAUCUGGAGAUCCUUUUGCAGGUCACAAGAGAGACUCCGAGAGAUCAUCCAAAACUGACAGCGAAGGCCAGGACCUCCACAGCUUCCUCAGCUCUGGUGUACACAACAACUUCUGGGGUUCCAAUCUGGAGACAGGAGCCCCCUAUCAACCGGAUGAGACAUAUGACCAUGUGACCGAGCUACCCAAUCAGAACCUAGUCUUGGCUAACAACCUAUCCUGGGUGGAUUUGGAUAAUCCACAGGCAACUAAUUGGAACACAAAGAUGGACAGCGACACACCUGAAGCUUCCACCCUUGAAGAAGAGGACAAACAGAUGCCCUCACAGGUGAAGCAGCUGGUUUGUAAAGAUGUGGUAGAGGGUGUGAAUGUUACUUCUGAAGGUUCUGAAGAUGGAGACUCCUGGUCAUCUGGGGAAGAAUAG